Schistocerca piceifrons (Central American locust) is the source of this 161-nucleotide long non-coding RNA. RefSeq lists it as uncharacterized. The record is from RefSeq and is a predicted model, not a curated record. Lineage: Eukaryota; Metazoa; Arthropoda; Insecta; Orthoptera; Acrididae. The transcript is spliced from 3 exons.
GCUUGCGGUGGCCGGUGCGGUCCGUGGCUCCCGUGGUCGCGAGUUCGAGGUUUCCCCAGGCGCCGGGAUAGCCCGCUCAGGUAUCACAUCGUCUGGCAGCGACCGUGGGUUGAAGUCUGCUGGAAUACGCGCACGAGACUACAGCACUGAGGUGAACGGUG